Long non-coding RNA from Hordeum vulgare subsp. vulgare (domesticated barley), 1305 nucleotides. RefSeq lists it as uncharacterized. Lineage: Eukaryota; Viridiplantae; Streptophyta; Magnoliopsida; Poales; Poaceae. The record is from RefSeq and is a predicted model, not a curated record. The transcript has 5 exons.
CGUACGUCUGGUAAGAAGUGUUUACCUUUUUUUAAUAAGUAAUAAGGUUGGGCAUCGUCUAAGUUCUUAGUACGAGGGAGUACGUGUGAAGUUUGUGACGAUGAACUCUGUUUAAGUCCGGCGAACUAUCGUGACGCGAAGACGAUUUUUCCAGUACCACGGUGUACCGGAUCUGCUAGAGAUGCUCUAGUGCCUUCCCCUGCCGCCCUUCCCGCUCCAAGCCAUCGACGCGUUCUGCCGCUCCUCUCUUUCGCCGGGAAAGCUGGAAGGAUCCAUGGAUCUGGGCUGAACCGUUGCAGCCGGCUUAGAUCCGGCCGGAUUCGGCCUGGGCGCAGCGCUUCAAUGCGCUUGCGUCCAGGGCUGCCUCUCGCCUCAGCUUGCAGGCCAGCUUACUGCCUCGUCGAGCUGCAGGAGUAAUCCUUGAAUAGUUGCAGCCAAAAGUGGGAGCAAUGAAAAUGGGAAGGAAGGCUGGCGUAAACGAAGCCAUCUGCUUAGCAAAAUCAAGGUGUGAUUAUAUACAUGGGCCCAGUUGGUCACUGAGAUAUUUUUUGCUCUUGACAUGAGGGAAGUAGGAGAGUCACAGAUGUUGGCAUGCAAACUGUGUUCCUCCGCAUUUUGGAAGAAUUGGCCGAACGCCAUACGGAAGAACUUCUUCCUGGUGAAGCAAACGUUAGCUUCAUCAUGGCAACAUAUAUGGAGAAACUCUCCUUAGCACUGGGCAAGAACUAUAUGCUUCAUUGCUCGGCAUGUCAUCAUUUCGACUUUCUUAAAAGGUGUGCAUCAACAAAUUCUACAAAUGACUUGUGCUUCCGUGAUCUUAUCAAGAAUGUUGUGUUUAUUUGGAGGGAUGUGCGCAAACCGAGCAAUGGGGCUAACUCUAUUUAGUUUUCUGCCCCCAAGAAGCUCAAGACUGAAUAUGGUUUUGGGUGCGGCCAAUCUUCCUUGGCGAAGCACAUUUUCAACUAUUUAAGGGGUGGUGAUGGUUAUCAUGCACCUCCCAUGUCCAACUAUUCCAAGCAUACACCUGCCAGCGUCAACGGGAUGGACUAACUGGAACAGGCAGGCAGGCCCCGAAUAAAUAAAAAAUCAAGUGGUUUAGAACAUUGCUGUUGAAGCAAUACACUUUCAAAUUUUAGGUUUUAUUUGAUUCAGUCAAUGUUCUGUGUGUCAAAUAAUGUUUGUUGUGUGUAAUUGUAUGCCAUCCUACAUAGAGAAAAAAUCAGCCUGUGUCUAACGAGUACGGAAAUAGAUCCUAUGGUGCUAAUGCACUGCUUGAUAUUAACAAGGACACAAAUUUGGUUAAAA